RNAcentral lists this ribosomal RNA (251 nucleotides) under uncultured bacterium. RNAcentral's name for it is "partial 16S ribosomal RNA". It matches the Rfam family "Bacterial small subunit ribosomal RNA", at positions 524 to 776 of the family's 1533-position model. The record is from RNAcentral.
UACGUAGGGUGCAAGCGUUAAUCGGAAUUACUGGGCGUAAAGCGUGCGCAGGCGGUUUUGUAAGUCUGAUGUGAAAUCCCCGGGCUCAACCUGGGAAUUGCAUUGGAGACUGCAAGGCUAGAAUCUGGCAGGGGGGUAGAAUUCCACGUGUAGCAGUGAAAUGCGUAGAGAUGUGGAGGAACACCGAUGGCGAAGGCAGCCCCCUGGGUCAAGAUUGACGCUCAUGCACGAAAGCGUGGGGAGCAAACAGG